UACAGAGGAUGCAAACGUUAUCCGGAAUGAUUGGGGCGUAAAGCGUCUGUAGGUGGCUUUUUAAGUCUGCCAUCAAAUCCCAGGGCUCAACUCUGGACAGGCGGUGGAAACUACCAAGCUGGAGUACGGUAGGGGCAGAGGGAAUUUCCGGUGAAGCGGUGAAAUGCGCAGAUAUCAGGAGGAACACCAAUAGCGAAGGCAGCUCGCUGGGACGGUACUGACGCUGAGGCGCGAAAGCGUGGGGAGCAAACAGG
RNAcentral lists this ribosomal RNA (254 nucleotides) under uncultured bacterium. Its description in RNAcentral is "partial 16S ribosomal RNA". It matches the Rfam family "Bacterial small subunit ribosomal RNA", at positions 524 to 776 of the family's 1533-position model. The record is from RNAcentral.